GCGGGCGUGGCCUAGUGGUUAGGGCGUCUGGUUGUGGCCCAGAAGGUCGAGGGUUCAAACCCCUCCGCUCGCCCCA
RNAcentral lists this transfer RNA (76 nucleotides) under bacterium SCGC AG-212-C10. RNAcentral's name for it is "tRNA-His". It matches the Rfam family "tRNA". Rfam says of the family: Transfer RNA (tRNA) molecules are approximately 80 nucleotides in length. Their secondary structure includes four short double-helical elements and three loops (D, anti-codon, and T loops). The record is from RNAcentral.